GGCAGCAUGGUGUAGUGCUUUGAGCGUUGGACUGCAACUUUGGAAACCAGGGUUCAAAUCCCUGCUCAGCCA
RNAcentral lists this transfer RNA (72 nucleotides) under Phrynosoma platyrhinos (Desert horned lizard). RNAcentral's name for it is "tRNA-OTHER". It matches the Rfam family "tRNA". Rfam says of the family: Transfer RNA (tRNA) molecules are approximately 80 nucleotides in length. Their secondary structure includes four short double-helical elements and three loops (D, anti-codon, and T loops). The record is from RNAcentral. Lineage: Eukaryota; Metazoa; Chordata; Lepidosauria; Squamata; Phrynosomatidae.